AGAUCGAACGCUGGCGGCAGGCCUAACACAUGCAAGUCGAGCGGUGGAGAGGUGCUUGCAUCUCUUGAGAGCGGCGGACGGGUGAGUAAUGCCUAGGAAUCUGCCUAGUGGUGGGGGAUAACGUUCGGAAACGGACGCUAAUACCGCAUACGUCCUACGGGAGAAAGCGGGGGACCUUCGGGCCUCGCGCCAUUAGAUGAGCCUAGGUCGGAUUAGCUAGUUGGUGAGGUAAUGGCCCACCAAGGCGACGAUCCGUAACUGGUCUGAGAGGAUGAUCAGUCACACUGGAACUGAGACACGGUCCAGAC
Molecule: ribosomal RNA, 308 nt
Filed under: uncultured soil bacterium
Lineage: Bacteria
Description: bacterial SSU rRNA
Rfam family: Bacterial small subunit ribosomal RNA
Source: RNAcentral